AAAAAUAGCAAUUGUUUGGUGAAAUUCCAAGUAUGAGAGUUGGCAAAGAAAACACAAACCGUCCAUGCAGCCAAUUUGAAGUCCCAGACAAUCACUGAAUAUUUUCCCACUUUGUGGACUUUUGUUUACUUUUUCUCUAUUAUUUGUUAUCGUGAAAAGAGAUGUUGGUUUUAAUGAGGGAUGGGUCUUGUUCACAAUUAUCUUUCAUUGUGUUAAUUGAAAUUAUAUACAGUAAAGGUACUGGGUAAUAUUAAUGCUCAAUUUUGUGACGACAAUGUCCAUCAGUCUG
Molecule: long non-coding RNA, 289 nt
Organism: Syngnathus acus (greater pipefish)
Lineage: Eukaryota; Metazoa; Chordata; Actinopteri; Syngnathiformes; Syngnathidae
Exons: 2
Source: RefSeq, a predicted model, not a curated record